AUUGAACGCUGGCGGCAGGCCUAACACAUGCAGGUCGAGCGGAUGAAGGGAGCUUGCUCCUGGAUUCAGCGGCGGACGGGUGAGUAAUGCCUAGGAAUCUGCCUGGUAGUGGGGGAUAACGUCCGGAAACGGGCGCUAAUACCGCAUACGUCCUGAGGGAGAAAGUGGGGGAUCCUCGGACCUCACGCUAUCAGAUGAGCCUAGGUCGGAUUAGCUAGUUGGUGGGGUAAAGGCCUACCAAGGCGACGAUCCGUAACUGGUCUGAGAGGAUGAUCAGUCACACUGGAACUGAGACACGGUCCAGACUCCUACGGGAGGCAGCAGUGGGGAAUAUUGGACAAUGGGCGAAAGCCUGAUCCAGCCAUGCCGCGUGUGUGAAGAAGGUCUUCGGAUUGUAAAGCACCUUAAGUUGGGAGGAAGGGCAGUAAGUUAAUACCUUGCUGUUUUGACGGUACCAACAGAAUAAGCACCGGCUAACUUCGUG
This 484-nucleotide ribosomal RNA is filed under the name uncultured bacterium. RNAcentral's name for it is "partial 16S ribosomal RNA". It matches the Rfam family "Bacterial small subunit ribosomal RNA", at positions 30 to 507 of the family's 1533-position model. The record is from RNAcentral.